GCGGGUAGGAGGGGGUGGGGGAUGCUGCGCGGCUUACCAUGCAAGUCGAGCGAGGUUUUCGGACCUAGCGGCGGACGGGUGAGUAACGCGUGGGAACGUGCCCUUUGCUACGGAAUAGUCCCGGGAAACUGGGUUUAAUACCGUAUGUGCCCUUUGGGGGAAAGAUUUAUCGGCAAAGGAUCGGCCCGCGUUGGAUUAGGUAGUUGGUGGGGUAAUGGCCCACCAAGCCGACGAUCCAUAGCUGGUUUGAGAGGAUGAUCAGCCACACUGGGACUGAGACACGGCCCAGACUCCUACGGGAGGCAGCAGUGGGGAAUCUUAGACAAUGGGGGCAACCCUGAUCUAGCCAUGCCGCGUGAGUGAUGAAGGCCCUAGGGUUGUAAAGCUCUUUCAGCUGGGAAGAUAAUGACGGUACCAGCAGAAGAAGCCCCGGCUAACUCCGUGCCAGCAGCCGCGGUAAUACGGAGGGGGCUAGCGUUGUUCGGAAUUACUGGGCGUAAAGCGCACGUAGGCGGACUGGAAAGUUGGGGGUGAAAUCCCGGGGCUCAACCCCGGAACUGCCUUCAAAACUAUCAGUCUGGAGUUCGAGAGAGGUGAGUGGAAUUC
Molecule: ribosomal RNA, 606 nt
Filed under: Paracoccus sp. (in: a-proteobacteria)
Lineage: Bacteria; Pseudomonadati; Pseudomonadota; Alphaproteobacteria; Rhodobacterales; Paracoccaceae
Description: bacterial SSU rRNA
Rfam family: Bacterial small subunit ribosomal RNA
Source: RNAcentral